RNAcentral lists this ribosomal RNA (506 nucleotides) under Rhyothemis phyllis. RNAcentral describes it as "partial 16S ribosomal RNA". It matches the Rfam family "Bacterial large subunit ribosomal RNA", at positions 1819 to 2597 of the family's 2925-position model. The record is from RNAcentral. Lineage: Eukaryota; Metazoa; Arthropoda; Insecta; Odonata; Libellulidae.
GUCCUUUUGAAUUUAAUUGAAGGUCUGACCUGCCCAGUGAUUAAUUUAACGGCCGCGGUAUACUGACCGUGCAAAGGUAGCAUAAUCAUUAGUCUUUUAAUAGAGGGCUGGAAUGAAAGGUUUGACGAGGAAUUGACUGUCUCAUUUUAUUUGUUUUAGAAUUUAAUUUUUUAGUUAAAAAGCUAAAAUUUAAUUGGAAGACGAGAAGACCCUAUAGAUCUUUAUAUAAUCUUAUUUAAUUAUUUAAAUAUUAAUAUAUUUAAAUUAUGAUUAUAUUUUGUUGGGGUGACAAAAAUAUAUAAUUAACUUUUUUAUUUAUUUGCCAUUGAUAAAUGAAUAUUAGAUCCAUUCAUAAUGAUUGUUAGAAUAAGUUACCUUAGGGAUAACAGCGUAAUCCUCCUCCAGAGUUCAUAUUUACAGGAUGGGCUUGCGACCUCGAUGUUGGAUUAAGAUAAUAAUUAGGUGUAGCCGCUUAAUUUAUAGGUCUGUUCGACCUUUAAAUUCUU